This 529-nucleotide long non-coding RNA is filed under the name Mytilus galloprovincialis (Mediterranean mussel). The record is from RNAcentral. Lineage: Eukaryota; Metazoa; Mollusca; Bivalvia; Mytilida; Mytilidae.
UACAUUUGUACAUAUCAUGUAUAUCAUUUCAUAAUAAGGAAAGAUCUAUGUUUUGCUGAUUAAUACAUAUUAGGUCUGAAUCUGUCUAGUUUUAUUAUAUGGAUUGGGCAAAGGAUUCAUGUGGUAAUUUUCUUGUAUCCCUGUUUCCAAAUAUUACAUUAACUAUUAAAAGUAGAUUGAAACAAAAAUUCAUAUUAGCCUAUAUAUUUAACUUUGUUUUGUAUGACUUUCCAUGUUACAAAAUCAUUCUUUUACUGAAAAGAUAACUGUCCAUAGUAAUUACACUAAACAAGAAACUUAAAAAGAUGUUACAAAGCACAAUUUAGUUGAUAAAGUAUUUUAUUUUUUUACUCGAGACAGAAAUUGUUGUAUUUUUUAAACAGAAAUAUUUUUAAGAUAGUUUCCGUAUUUUUAUUAUCAUCAACAUGUGAUUUGUUGGUGAUAUUUUAUUGUUAUUGAUAUUGUUGAAAUCCAUGAAUCGAUUGUUUGUACAGUUAUCUCAUUCAAAAUAAAUAGAUACAAACAUUUA